Long non-coding RNA from Bos taurus (domestic cattle), 1768 nucleotides. The record is from Ensembl. Lineage: Eukaryota; Metazoa; Chordata; Mammalia; Artiodactyla; Bovidae.
ACUAAGAUGCCUUGGAUCGCAAGAAACUUCAGACAACCCUUCACAGGUGCUGAAGCCCACCUGAGAAUGACUGUAAGGAGGAAGAAAUUAGCACAUCCCUUCAGAGGCUAAUGGGAAACAGGAAGUGUUUGACUUUACUCUCUCCCCUUUUAGUGUAAAAGAAGCAUGAAUUUCAACUUGGGCAAGAUUAUUCUCUAGGGGCAUGAGUCCACAAUCUCCUUGGUUUGCUGAUUUUUCUAAUGAGUCACUGUUUCUUCCCCCACAGCUUUCCUCUCAAUUUAUUAGCCUGUAGUGCAGAGAGCAGUAAAAGCUUGGGCUCAUUAACAGUACUUCCAUAUUUCAGAUAUCUGCUUCCAAAAAGCAUAAAAGUUCUGAAGGUUUUGUCUUUAAGUGGAAGCCCUUUGAGAAACAUGAGGUGGUCUGCCAAAAUGAAAAAGCCAUUAUGGAAGUUAUGAUCAUUUAGGUGUCUGUCACCACUAACUAGGGCUUCCCAGGUGGCUCAGUGGUAAAGAAUCUGCCUGCCGAUGCAUGAGACAUGGGUUCUAUCCCUGGGUCAGAAAGAUCCCCUGGAGAAGGAAAUGGCAACUCACUCUCGGAAAUUCCAUGGACUAAGGAGCCUGUGGGCUACAGUCCAGGUGGUCUCAGUCAGGCACGGCUGAGUGACUGACCUUGCAUACACACCACUAAGCCCAGGCGUUUGUUUUACAUUUCAGAUCCCUGGAAAGGACAGGCUUGGAGUGGUGGUGAGGGUGUAGGUUGAAAGUUCAAAGGCUACUGAGGUUACAGUGAGUAGCAAAGCAGAGUACCUCCACUUCAAUUACAAAGUUCAAGAAGGCAAGAAACCCCCUGAAGACGGAAUUGAAACAGCAGAUGCCUCAGAGCUCUGACUGCUGACAAUGCUGAAAACAUGAAGAGACUCCGUUUUCUGUCUGGAUUGUUAUGGAGCAGACACUCUCGGUUUAUACCCUCCAGGGGAGAUGGAGAGAUGCUUUCUGUAAAUAAGAAUGAGUGACUUGAAGGUGAUCUGUUUAAAUAGUCAGCUUGGGUUGUCCUUACCUCUCAGGAAAACAAGCAGCCCCAUACAGCUGAAUGUCUUUUGGUGUUAUUAAGGAGAAUGACACCAGGGCUGUGAAGUUAGUCACUGACUUUACAUCUAUAUGUACCUGUUUUAUCUUGUUUUGCAAAUACUGUUUGGCUUCUUGUUUGUUGUUUGUUUUUUAAUAAAUCGAAGAUCUGUGGCAACCCUGCAUCAAGCCAGUAAUUUUUCUAGCAGCAUUUGCUUCCUUCCUGACUUUGUCACAUUUUGGUAAUUCUUGCACUAUUUCAAACCUUUUCAUUAUUUGUUAUGGUGAGCUGUGAUGUUACUAUUGUAACACCUAUCCACUGAUGUUACUACUAUAAUUGUUUGGGGGCACCACAAACUGUACCCAUGUCAGAUGACAAACUUAAUCAAUAAAUAUUUGUGUUCUGACUGCUCCACCAACAAGCCUUUCUCCAUCUCUCUCCCUUUACUAGGGCCUUCCUAUUCCCUGAGGCACAAUAAUACUGAGAUCAGGCCAAUUGUAACCCUUUAAUGGCAUCCAGGUGUUCAAGUGAAAGUCACACAUCUCUCACUUUAAGUCAAAAACUAAAAAUGAUUAAGUUUAAUGAUUAAGCUUAGUGAGGAAGGCAUGUCAAAUGCUGAGACAGGUCAAAAGCUGGGCCUCUUGCACCAAACAGUUAACCAAAUUGUAAAUGCAAAGGAAAAGUUCUUGAAGGGAAUUAAAAG